AGUGAAGCGGCAACAGCUCAAAUUUGAAAUCUGGCCCUUGUGGUCCGAGUUGUAAUUUGUAGAGGAUGCUUUUGGUUAGGUGCCUUCCGAGUGCCCUGGAACGGGCCGCCAUAGAGGGUGAGAGCCCCGUCUGGUUGGAUACCGAGCCUCUGUAAAGCUCCUUCGACGAGUCGAGUAGUUUGGGAAUGCUGCUCUAAAUGGGAGGUAUAUGUCUUCUAAAGCUAAAUAUUGGCCAGAGACCGAUAGCGCACAAGUAGAGUGAUCGAAAGAUGAAAAGCACUUUGAAAAGAGGGUUAAAAAGUACGUGAAAUUGUUGAAAGGGAAGCGCUUGUGACCAGACUUGGGCCCGGUCAAUCAUCCAGGGUUCUCCCUGGUGCACUUGGCCGGCCCAGGCCAGCAUCAGUUCGUCGCGGGGGAUAAAGACGUUGGGAAUGUGGCUCCCCCGGGAGUGUUAUAGCCCUUCGUGUAAUACCCUGCUUUGGACUGAGGUUCGCGCAUCUUGCAAGGAUGCUGGCGUAAUGGUCAUCAGCGACCCGUCUUGAAACACGGACCAAGGAGUCGUCUUCGUAUGCGAGUGUUCGGGUAUCAAACCCCUACGCGUAAUGAAAGUGAACGCAGGUGAGAGCUUCGGCGCAUCAUCGACCGAUCCUGAUGUUCUCGGAUGGAUUUGAGUAAGAGCAUACGGGGCCGGACCCGAAAGAAGGUGAACUAUGCCUGUAUAGGGUGAAGCCAGAGGAAACUCUGGUGGAGGCUCGCAGCGGUUCUGACGUGCAAAUCGAUCGUCAAAUAUGGGCAUGGGGGCGAAAGACUA
This 811-nucleotide ribosomal RNA is filed under the name Nectria pseudotrichia. Its description in RNAcentral is "partial large subunit ribosomal RNA". It matches the Rfam family "Eukaryotic large subunit ribosomal RNA", at positions 92 to 933 of the family's 3401-position model. The record is from RNAcentral. Lineage: Eukaryota; Fungi; Ascomycota; Sordariomycetes; Hypocreales; Nectriaceae.